CCAGAGCUCUGUUCGCACCCCGUUUAUUUAUCAGCAGACUUAUGACGUCGGCGGUCGAUUUACGUCACGGGACAUGACGUCAUCACUGCAAGCUACGUGCUACGUGAAAGAGACAUAUAUGAUGCUGUACUGACAUUGGUGGCGCACAUCAACAAAUGCUCCCCUGCGCUGUUUUGUGUGUUUAUUGUUUCACAUAGGUGAUUUAUCGCUGCUUAGGGCCAGCGGCCCAUCGGACAGCCUUGAGAAGACCGCCGCACGCUGUUUGCAGUCCGUCGACCUCCUGUCUUCAACGGACGGACGCCCUCGGUUCCACUCAGCAAUUGACUGAAGCCUAUCGCGCCGAUAUGCUCGGCUCAUCUUCCAUCCUCGCCCUGCCUGAUUGUUUCGACGACCCGGGCUGUGGUCCCUGAGGUUCGGAACCCGUCUCGCUGGCCUGCCAGCAGGAGGCCUGGCGCUCGUCGCAGACGAGCGCUGCAGUGUGGCCA
Long non-coding RNA from Amphibalanus amphitrite, 485 nucleotides. RefSeq lists it as uncharacterized. NCBI's taxonomy places the organism in Eukaryota, Metazoa, Arthropoda, Thecostraca, Balanomorpha, Balanidae. The transcript is spliced from 2 exons. The record is from RefSeq and is a predicted model, not a curated record.